AGAGUUUGAUCCUGGCUCAGGACGAACGCUGGCGGCGUGCUUAACACAUGCAAGUCGAACGAGAAUCUGUGGAAAGAGGAUUCGUCCAAUUGAAGCAGAGGACAGUGGCGGACGGGUGAGUAACGCGUGAGGAACCUGCCUUUCAGAGGGGGACAACAGUUGGAAACGACUGCUAAUACCGCAUGACAUAUAGAUGUCGCAUGGCAUUUAUAUCAAAGAUUUAUCGCUGAAAGAUGGCCUCGCGUCUGAUUAGCUAGUUGGUGAGGUAACGGCCCACCAAGGCGACGAUCAGUAGCCGGACUGAGAGGUUGAACGGCCACAUUGGGACUGAGAUACGGCCCAGACUCCUACGGGAGGCAGCAGUGGGGAAUAUUGGGCAAUGGGCGCAAGCCUGACCCAGCAACGCCGCGUGAAGGAAGAAGGCUUUCGGGUUGUAAACUUCUUUUGUCAGGGACGAGUAGAAGACGGUACCUGACGAAUAAGCCACGGCUAACUACGUGCCAGCAGCCGCGGUAAUACGUAGGUGGCAAGCGUUGUCCGGAUUUACUGGGUGUAAAGGGCGUGUAGCCGGGAGGGCAAGUCAGAUGUGAAAUCCACGGGCUCAACUCGUGAACUGCAUUUGAAACUACUCUUCUUGAGUAUCGGAGAGGCAAUCGGAAUUCCUAGUGUAGCGGUGAAAUGCGUAGAUAUUAGGAGGAACACCAGUGGCGAAGGCGGAUUGCUGGACGACAACUGACGGUGAGGCGCGAAAGCGUGGGGAGCAAACAGGAUUAGAUACCCUGGUAGUCCACGCUGUAAACGAUGAAUACUAGGUGUGCGGGGACUGACCCCCUGCGUGCCGCAGCUAACGCAAUAAGUAUUCCACCUGGGGAGUACGAUCGCAAGGUUGAAACUCAAAGGAAUUGACGGGGGCCCGCACAAGCGGUGGAUUAUGUGGUUUAAUUCGAAGCAACGCGAAGAACCUUACCAGGGCUUGACAUCCUACUAACGAGAUAGAGAUAUGUUAGGUGCCCUUCGGGGAAAGUAGAGACAGGUGGUGCAUGGUUGUCGUCAGCUCGUGUCGUGAGAUGUUGGGUUAAGUCCCGCAACGAGCGCAACCCCUAUUGUUAGUUGCUACGCAAGAGCACUCUAGCGAGACUGCCGUUGACAAAACGGAGGAAGGUGGGGACGACGUCAAAUCAUCAUGCCCCUUAUGUCCUGGGCUACACACGUAAUACAAUGGCAGGUACAGAGAGACGGUUGUACGUAAGUACGAUCAAAUCCUUAAAGCCUGUCUCAGUUCGGACUGGGGUCUGCAACCCGACCCCACGAAGCUGGAUUCGCUAGUAAUCGCGCAUCAGCCAUGGUGCGGUGAAUACGUUCCCGGGCCUUGUACACACCGCCCGUCAAGCCAUGAAAGCCGGGGGCGCCUAAAGUCCGUGACCGUAAGGAGCGGCCUAGGGCGAAACUGGUAAUUGGGGCUAAGUCGUAACAAGGUA
This 1478-nucleotide ribosomal RNA is filed under the name metagenome. RNAcentral describes it as "bacterial SSU rRNA". It matches the Rfam family "Bacterial small subunit ribosomal RNA". The record is from RNAcentral.